GACGAACGCUGGCGGCGUGCUUAACACAUGCAAGUCGAACGGAAAGGCCCUGCUUUUGUGGGGUGCUCGAGUGGCAAACGGGUGAGUAACACGUGAGUAACCUGCCCUUGACUUUGGGAUAACUUCAGGAAACUGGGGCUAAUACCGGAUAGGAGCUCCUGCUGCAUGGUGGGGGUUGGAAAGUUUCGGCGGUUGGGGAUGGACUCGCGGCUUAUCAGCUUGUUGGUGGGGUAGUGGCUUACCAAGGCUUUGACGGGUAGCCGGCCUGAGAGGGUGACCGGCCACAUUGGGACUGAGAUACGGCCCAGACUCCUACGGGAGGCAGCAGUGGGGAAUAUUGCACAAUGGGCGGAAGCCUGAUGCAGCAACGCCGCGUGCGGGAUGACGGCCUUCGGGUUGUAAACCGCUUUCGCCUGUGACGAAGCGUGAGUGACGGUAAUGGGUAAAGAAGCGCCGGCUAACUACGUG
Molecule: ribosomal RNA, 468 nt
Filed under: uncultured bacterium
Lineage: Bacteria
Description: partial 16S ribosomal RNA
Rfam family: Bacterial small subunit ribosomal RNA
Source: RNAcentral